UACGGAGGGUGCUAGCGUUGUUCGGAAUUACUGGGCGUAAAGAGCACGUAGGCGGGCUCGUAAGUCGAUUGUGAAAGCCCAGGGCUCAAUCCUGGAAUUGCAGUCGAAACUACGAGUCUUGAAUGCCCAAGAGGGUGGCGGAAUUCCUGGUGUAGAAGUGAAAUUCGUAGAUAUCAGGAGGAACACCGGAGGCGAAGGCGGUUGCCUGGUGGUGCAUUGACGCUGAGGUGCGAAAGCGUGGGGAGCAAACAGG
Molecule: ribosomal RNA, 253 nt
Filed under: uncultured bacterium
Lineage: Bacteria
Description: partial 16S ribosomal RNA
Rfam family: Bacterial small subunit ribosomal RNA
Source: RNAcentral